UCAAUUAUACAGGAAUUAAUUUACUAACUAGAAUACAAAAUCUGAAAAUGAAACCCCAGAAAGCAUUAUGAGAAAAUUGUUGAAAGUCGGGACAUUAGUUACCUGGAAAAGCACUGAGGCUCACAUUUCCUCUGGAUGUCCACUUGGGAUUGCACAAGCUGCUAGAAGACACCCUUUGGUUCUUGCAUGUGGCCCCUUUCUGUCUUCAAAGGCAGCAACAAUACACUGAACCCUUCUUGUGAUUCAAAUCACUUUGACUUCUCGGGCUGCAAGCCAGAACUAUGGUGUGCAGUCUGGAUGCACCAAGCCAAGAUCUGCAGUGAGCACUCAAGUUGGAGAGGAGCCUACACUGACUU
RNAcentral lists this long non-coding RNA (356 nucleotides) under Homo sapiens (human). RNAcentral describes it as "HSALNT0352420". The record is from RNAcentral. Lineage: Eukaryota; Metazoa; Chordata; Mammalia; Primates; Hominidae.